AGUAAAUUGGUUAAGUUAGAAAGGGCGCACGGUGGAUGCCUUGGCACUAGGAGCCGAAGAAGGACGGGACUAACACCGAUAUGCUUUGGGGAGCUGUACGUAAGCGUUGAUCCAGAGAUUUCCGAAUGGGGGAACCCACUAUCUUUAGUCGGAUAGUAUCCUUACGUGAAUACAUAGCGUGAGGAAGGCAGACCCAGGGAACUGAAACAUCUAAGUACCUGGAGGAAGAGAAAGAAAAAUCGAUUUCCUGAGUAGCGGCGAGCGAAACGGAAAGAGCCCAAACCAAGAAGCUUGCUUCUUGGGGUUGUAGGACACUCUAUACGGAGUUACAAAAGAAAGUUAUAAAUGAAGCGGUCUGGAAAGGCCCGCCAAAGACGGUAACAGCCCGGUAGUUGAAAUAGCUUUCCCUCCAGAGUGGAUCCUGAGUACGGCGGAACACGUGAAAUUCCGUCGGAAUCCGGGAGGACCA
RNAcentral lists this ribosomal RNA (469 nucleotides) under Listeria welshimeri. RNAcentral describes it as "partial 23S ribosomal RNA". It matches the Rfam family "Bacterial large subunit ribosomal RNA", at positions 1 to 455 of the family's 2925-position model. The record is from RNAcentral. Lineage: Bacteria; Bacillati; Bacillota; Bacilli; Caryophanales; Listeriaceae.